AGUGAACGCUGGCGGUAGGCCUAACACAUGCAAGUCGAACGGCAGCACAGUAAGAGCUUGCUCUUACGGGUGGCGAGUGGCGGACGGGUGAGGAAUACAUCGGAAUCUACUUUUUCGUGGGGGAUAACGUAGGGAAACUUCCGCUAAUACCUAAUAUGACCAACGGGUGAAAUCAGGGGAUCUUCGCACUUUGCGCGUUAGAUUGAGCCGAUGUCGGAUUAGCUAGUUGGCGGGGUAAAGGCCCACCAAGGCGACGAUCCGUAGCUGGUCUGAGAGGAUGAUCAGCCACACUGGAACUGAGACACGGUCCAGACUCCUACGGGAGGCAGCAGUGGGGAAUAUUGGACAAUGGGCGCAAGCCUGAUCCAGCCAUACCGCGUGGGUGAAGAAGGCCUUCGGGUUGUAAAGCCCUUUUGUUGGGAAAGAAAAGCAGCAGGUUAAUACCCCGCUGUUCUGACGGUACCCAAAGAAUAAGCACCGGCUAACUUCGUG
This 492-nucleotide ribosomal RNA is filed under the name uncultured bacterium. RNAcentral's name for it is "partial 16S ribosomal RNA". It matches the Rfam family "Bacterial small subunit ribosomal RNA", at positions 29 to 507 of the family's 1533-position model. The record is from RNAcentral.